GAUGAACGCUAGCGACAGGCUUAACACAUGCAAGUCGAGGGACCGGCGCACGGGUGAGUAACACGUAUCCAGCCUGCUCUUUACUCGGGGAUAGCCUUUCGAAAGAAAGAUUAAUACCCGAUAUAAUGGGUGGGGAUGCGUUCCAUUAGGGUGUUGGUGAGGUAACGGCUAGCCAAGCAUUCGCUGGCGAGGGGGUCUGAGAGUAAGGUCCCCCACAUUGGAACUGAGACACGGACUCAACUCCGACGGGCGGCAGCAGAGAGGAAGAUUGGUCACUGAGCGCUAGUCUGAACCAGCCAAGUAGCGUAAAGGAUGCUGGGUUAUGGGUCGUCAACUUCUUUGAUAUAAGAAUCUGUAUUAUAUGAAUAAGGAUCGGCUAACUCCGUGCCAGCAGCCGCGGUAAUUC
This 406-nucleotide ribosomal RNA is filed under the name uncultured bacterium. RNAcentral describes it as "partial 16S ribosomal RNA". It matches the Rfam family "Bacterial small subunit ribosomal RNA", at positions 28 to 526 of the family's 1533-position model. The record is from RNAcentral.